CAGCUGUCCCUCACUUAUCACAAAAGGAGUCCUCUCACCCUAUAGAGAUGAUCCUAAAAUGUGAGAUGCAAGUUAAGCCUUAUUAUAUAAUAAGUGCAAUAUGUGGGCUUCAGUUUAAUUGGUUUACCCCUUCCCACAUAUUGUCUACAUCAUAUGAUGAGAGCAUCAAAGUUUGGUCAGAGUUCUACCUCAACUAACGUGGCAGUGGUUUUUUCAUGCAUGUCCCAAGCACUUUUAUUUUCUAAUCCAUUUAUUCCAUACCCUUGGUUCCAUGGCCCAACUAAAUACUUCCUUCAAAAUGGAACAUUUAUGUACCACAAUAAAAACACCAAAAGGAACAUUUAUGUACCACAUUUAAAACACCAAACUUCAGCGCUACUAAACAAAAGAAGCCAGAUCAAAACUAUUGGAUGAUGAGUUUGCAUCCAAACAAGUUUGUGUGUGUAGUUGUUAACACAGAAAAAAUGGUUCUGUUAUGCGUUCCUUAUUAGAAACUCAAAGGGUCAAGUUUAUAGACUUAGCAGUACAACUGACUACCUAAAAAAUAGGAAACUACCUCACACACUAACAGCAUAUCUUAAGUGUGUGCAAGACUUAGCAAUACAACUUACUACCUAGAAAAUAGGAAACUACCUCACACACUAACAGCAUAUCCUAAGUGUGAGAGAAAGUAGGAAUUGAAAGCAACAAACAAUUAAUUAAAAACAAACAAUAGAAAUAAUUCUAAAAAUCAAAUUGACUUAUUCAACAAUUCCUCCCUUAAACUGUAUGCUCCUUGCAACAGUUUAUCUCAGACUCAUCAAGCAUUCCUAGAGCACUCAACAUAUGUUGGAAUUCUUCAACUUUAAGUGGCUUUGUCAUGAUGUGUGCUAACUGAUCUCUUGUAUUGCAAUAAUUCAGCUCAAUAACACCAUCAUUACAUAAAUUUCUCAAAAAAUGAAAUCGAACAUCAAUAUGUUUACUUCUUCCAUGCAAAACUGGAUUUUUGGAUAAUUUAAUUGUUGAGACAUUAUCACAAAACACCACAGUAGCUCCUUCUUGACAAUGACUUAGAUGUUCCAAAAUUCUUCUCAACUAAACACAUUGACAAACACAUAACGCGGCUGCUAUAAACUCUGCUUCUGUUGUGGAUAAGCUAACAACCGACUGCUUCUUCGACACCCAAGAAAUAACACCUCCUCCCAGCAAGAAAGCAUAGCCCGAAGUGCUCUUCCUGUCAUCAAGGUCUCCUGCAUAAUCACUGUCGGUAUAAGCAAUUAAUUCUUCAUUUCCUCCAGCCUUAUAGAAAAUUCCCAGAUUUUCUUCUUGAUUGGAUCAUAAAGUUUGUAGGCCUUAGACUCCUCACUUACACCAAACAACACACAUUUGAUACUUUUAUCAUCAAGUUUGCUCCUUUUCUGAUCAGGUACAUGAACGUAUCCAAUGCUGCCAAAGAUUCUAAAAUAUGAAACAGACGGCUUAAUUCCGCUCCAUGCUUCCUCUGGUGUGACGUUCUUGACAGCAAGAGUCGGGCUUCUGUUUAAAAUAUGAAUCACCCAUUUUACAGCUUCUGGCCAAAAAGAUCUUGGAACUCCCUUUUCCACCAAAACACUGCGAACCAUAUUUAUAAUCGUUUGAUUUUUUCUCUCAGCCACGCCAUUUUGUUGUGGCGUGUAUGAAGCAGUGAGUUGCCUUUCAAUACCAUGUUUACUGCAAAAUUCAGCAAACUCUUUAGAAAGAUACUCUCCCCCUCUAUCGGUACGUAAUAUUUGAAUGGGAGCGCCAACUUGUUUUUCAACUAAUGCUUUAAACUCUUUAAAUGCACCAAAAGUUUCACUUUUCUCCGUAAGAAAAUAUACCCAUACUUUCCUACUUAAAUCAUCAAUGAAAGUGAGUAUGUACCUUUUAUUUCCAUUGGAUGUAGGAUUGAUAGGACCACAAAUAUCUGAGUGAAUUAACUGCAACAACUGAGAUGCCCGCCAAUUACUUUGUCGUGGAAAAGGGUCUCGUUGAUGAUUCCCUUUGAGGCAAUGUUCACAAAGUUGAGAUGUUGGUUUAAAGGAGGGCAACCCUUUCACCAUGUCAUGCUCCAUUAAAGUUUUCAGUCCACUGUAGCUCAAGUGACCAUAACGAGAGUGCCAUACUUGAGCUGGUGGCACAGAACUAACCUGAAAGCAGGAUUGGGAGACUCCGGAUUUUACAUGAAUAGCAAACAUACGAUUAGUAGUCAUGUAGGUUUCAAAAAUAAGGCCAUUUUCUUUAAACACUCUACAUUUGUUUUGCUUCAUUUCAACUGUUAACCCUCUUUCCAGAAGUUGCCCCACACUAAAUAAAUUAUUUUUCAGCUCAGGCACAUAAAAUACAUCAUUUAGAAAAUGCACAACUCCGUUUAUCAAAAGUUUAACCAUACCUUUUCCACAGACCUUUAGAGCAUAAUUAUUCCCUAAUUUCACUUCAUCUGAAAAACUUUCAUCAAUGGAGGAGAACCAAUCCUUUCUUCCUGUCAUGUGGUUGCUGCAGCCUGAAUCGAUGAACCACAUGUCUUGUGUGUUUGAUUUUCCCUCUGAUGAAAGUUGUGCCAUGAGUAACACUGCUUCCUCAUUGGUCUCAACAUAAUUUGCAAUGCUGUCCUGUGGUUUCUUUGGGCAUUCAUAUUGAAAAUGUCCAAACUCAUGACAGUAAUAACAUUCCACUGCUGCCUUGUCUACUCGUUGUCUGCCUCCUCUGCCUCUUCCUCGAGCAAAUCCACUCCGAAAGUCACCUCUUCCACGGCCACGACUAGUAUUUGUCUCAUCUCGAGUUACUUUCAACACUUGCUCUUCAUAUGAAUUGUGCCCAUUCAUUCGUUGUUCGUGUACCAACAAACUACUUUGGAGUUCAUCUACAGUCAUGGAAUCCAAAACAUGAGAUUCUUCGAUAGCACACACUACAUAAUCAUACCUGGAGGUCAUUGAGCGAAGAAUCUUUUCGACAACAGUAAGAUCCGACAUUUGUUCACCGUACAUUCGCAUCUUAUUUGCAAUAGUGAGAGUUCGAGCAAAAUAGUCAUUAACUGAUUCUCCAUUCUUCAUCUGCAAAAUCUCCCACUCACGUCGUAGGGCUUGAAGCUGUGCUCGCUUCACUCUAGCAGUGCCUUGGUAUUUCUGUUUUAAGGAAUCCUAGAUCUCUUUUGAUGUCUCCUUCUUUAAAAUUGUUUCAAGCACAGAUCGAUCGAUUGCUUGAAAGAGGUAAUUCUUUACCUUCAAAUCUUUUAGCUUAAGCUCGUUCACCGUUUUUUUCUCGUUCUCCGUUAAUACAGUACCAUCAGCAUGUUGAGGAAUCCCUGGAUCUAUAAGAUUCCAAUACUCCUUUGACCUUAAAAAAUUCUCCAUGAGCAUUACCCAAUGAUCAUAAUGCUCACUCAAUUUUGGAAUUGCAGGUUGCACGAAGUUGCCAUCCGUGGUUGUAGCCAUGAUUGAAGUCUGCUGCUUCUCUUUACUUGCUAUACACCUAGCUCUGAUGCCAGAUGUUAACACAGAAAAAAUGGUUCUGUUCUGCGUUGCUUAUUUGAAACUCAAAGGGCCAAGUUUAUAGACUUAGCAGUACAACUGACUACCUAAAAAAUA
Molecule: long non-coding RNA, 3584 nt
Filed under: Lathyrus oleraceus (garden pea)
Lineage: Eukaryota; Viridiplantae; Streptophyta; Magnoliopsida; Fabales; Fabaceae
Description: Pisum sativum (pea) long non-coding RNA (PSAT_LNC031219)
Source: RNAcentral